CGGACGGGUGAGUAACGCGUGAGAACCUGCCUCUUGGCCGGGGACAACAGUUGGAAACGGCUGCCAAUCCCGGAUGAGCCGAAAGGUAAAAGAUUAAUCGCCAAGAGAGGGGCUUGCGUCUGAUUAGCUAGUUGGUAGUGUAAGAGACUACCAAGGCGACGAUCAGUAGCUGGUCUGAGAGGAUGAUCAGCCACACUGGGACUGAGACACGGCCCAGACUCCUACGGGAGGCAGCAGUGGGGAAUUUUCCGCAAUGGGCGAAAGCCUGACGGAGCAAGACCGCGUGGGGGAGGAAGGUUCUUGGAUUGUCAACCCCUUUUCUCAGGGAAGAAGAAAGUGACGGUACCUGAGGAAGAAGCAUCGGCUAACUCCGUGCCAGCAGCCGCGGUAAUACGGAGGAUGCAAGCGUUAUCCGGAAUGAUUGGGCGUAAAGAGUCCGUAGGUGGCCCUUCAAGUCUGCUGUUAAAGAGCGAGGCUUAACUUCGGAAAAGCAGUGGAAACUGGAGAGCUAGAGUGUAGUAGGGGCAGAGGGAAUUCCUGGUGUAGCGGUGAAAUGCGUAGAGAUCAGGAAGAACACCGGUGGCGAAAGCGCUCUGCUGGGCUACAACUGACACUGAGGGACGAAAGCUAGGGGAGUGAAUGGGAUUAGAUACCCCAGUAGUC
Molecule: ribosomal RNA, 663 nt
Filed under: Planktothrix mougeotii LEGE 06222
Lineage: Bacteria; Bacillati; Cyanobacteriota; Cyanophyceae; Oscillatoriales; Microcoleaceae
Description: bacterial SSU rRNA
Rfam family: Bacterial small subunit ribosomal RNA
Source: RNAcentral